GACGAACGCUGGCGGCGUGCUUAACACAUGCAAGUCGAACGGAAAGGCCCUGCUUGCAGGGUACUCGAGUGGCGAACGGGUGAGUAACACGUGGGUGAUCUGCCCUGCACUUCGGGAUAAGCCUGGGAAACUGGGUCUAAUACCGGAUAGGAGCCAUUUUUAUUGUGAUGGUUGGAAAGUUUUUUCGGUGUAGGAUGAGCUCGCGGCCUAUCAGCUUGUUGGUGGGGUAAUGGCCUACCAAGGCGGCGACGGGUAGCCGGCCUGAGAGGGUGGACGGCCACAUUGGGACUGAGAUACGGCCCAGACUCCUACGGGAGGCAGCAGUGGGGAAUAUUGCACAAUGGGCGCAAGCCUGAUGCAGCGACGCCGCGUGGGGGAUGACGGCCUUCGGGUUGUAAACUCCUUUCGCUAGGGACGAAGCUUUUGUGACGGUACCUAGAUAAGAAGCACCGGCUAACUACGUG
Molecule: ribosomal RNA, 464 nt
Filed under: uncultured bacterium
Lineage: Bacteria
Description: partial 16S ribosomal RNA
Rfam family: Bacterial small subunit ribosomal RNA
Source: RNAcentral